Molecule: ribosomal RNA, 442 nt
Filed under: uncultured bacterium
Lineage: Bacteria
Description: partial 16S ribosomal RNA
Rfam family: Bacterial small subunit ribosomal RNA
Source: RNAcentral
CCUACGGGAGGCAGCAGUGGGGAAUAUUGGGCAAUGGGCGAAAGCCUGACCCAGCAACGCCGCGUGAAGGAAGAAGGCUUUCGGGUUGUAAACUUCUUUUGACAGGGAAGAGCAGAAGACGGUACCUGUCGAAUAAGACACGGCUAACUACGUGCCAGCAGCCGCUGUCAUACGUAGGUGGCAAGCGUUGUCCGGAUUUACUGGGUGUAAAGGGCGUGUAGCCGGGCUGACAAGUCAGAUGUGAAAUCCGGGGGCUCAACCCCCGAACUGCAGUUGAAACUGGUGGUCUUGAGUAUCGGAGAGGCAGGCGGAAUUCCUAGUGCAGCGGUGAAAUGCGUAGAUAUUAGGAGGAACACCAGUGGCGAAGGCAGCCUGCUGGACGACAACUGACGGUGAGGCGCGAAAGCGUGGGGAGCAAACAGGAUUAGAUACCCGGGUAGUC